AAAGAUUGAAUCAACCUCAAGUCCAUAUAUGGAUGACUUAAAAUGAAUAAGAAAUGGUCAACUAAGUCAAUAACUCAAGUCAAAAGCAUCAAGUAUAUCAAAAGUCAAACAAAAAUGAAUUUAAAAUUAAUUAAAAAGGGAAAUUAAAGAGAAAAUCUCAACCUAUGAUCAAAAUGAUUCAAAAAUGGUUGCAAAAAUUACAUAAAAUCUCAAAUAUUAUGCAUGAAUAGAUCUCAAACGUUGGAUGCGAGAAUGUUUUGAAAUGAUUAAAAAAUAAAUUGAAAAAUGAAAUAAAAAAAAUGAAAUAAAAAUAACAAUAAAU
RNAcentral lists this long non-coding RNA (322 nucleotides) under Lathyrus oleraceus (garden pea). RNAcentral's name for it is "Pisum sativum (pea) long non-coding RNA (PSAT_LNC023985)". The record is from RNAcentral. Lineage: Eukaryota; Viridiplantae; Streptophyta; Magnoliopsida; Fabales; Fabaceae.